Molecule: ribosomal RNA, 884 nt
Filed under: Salmonella enterica subsp. enterica serovar Kentucky
Lineage: Bacteria; Pseudomonadati; Pseudomonadota; Gammaproteobacteria; Enterobacterales; Enterobacteriaceae
Description: partial 23S ribosomal RNA
Rfam family: Bacterial large subunit ribosomal RNA
Source: RNAcentral
AGGGAAACCGAGUCUUAACUGGGCGUUAAGUUGCAGGGUAUAGACCCGAAACCCGGUGAUCUAGCCAUGGGCAGGUUGAAGGUUGGGUAACACUAACUGGAGGACCGAACCGACUAAUGUUGAAAAAUUAGCGGAUGACUUGUGGCUGGGGGUGAAAGGCCAAUCAAACCGGGAGAUAGCUGGUUCUCCCCGAAAGCUAUUUAGGUAGCGCCUCGUGAACUCAUCUUCGGGGGUAGAGCACUGUUUCGGCUAGGGGGUCAUCCCGACUUACCAACCCGAUGCAAACUGCGAAUACCGAAGAAUGUUAUCACGGGAGACACACGGCGGGUGCUAACGUCCGUCGUGAAGAGGGAAACAACCCAGACCGCCAGCUAAGGUCCCAAAGUCACAGUUAAGUGGGAAACGAUGUGGGAAGGCUCAGACAGCCAGGAUGUUGGCUUAGAAGCAGCCAUCAUUUAAAGAAAGCGUAAUAGCUCACUGGUCGAGUCGGCCUGCGCGGAAGAUGUAACGGGGCUAAACUGUGCACCGAAGCUGCGGCAGCGACGCUUAUGCGUUGUUGGGUAGGGGAGCGUUCUGUAAGCCUGCGAAGGUGUCCUGUGAGGGAUGCUGGAGGUAUCAGAAGUGCGAAUGCUGACAUAAGUAACGAUAAUGCGGGUGAAAAGCCCGCUCGCCGGAAGACCAAGGGUUCCUGUCCAACGUUAAUCGGGGCAGGGGGAGUCGACCCCUAAGGCGAGGCCGAAAGGCGUAGUCGAUGGGAAACGGGUUAAUAUUCCCGUACUUGGUGUUACUGCGAAGGGGGGACGGAGAAGGCUAUGUUGGCCGGGCGACGGUUGUCCCGGUUUAAGCGUGUAGGCUGGUUUUCCAGGCAAAUCCGGAAAAUCAAG